Molecule: long non-coding RNA, 526 nt
Filed under: Astyanax mexicanus (Mexican tetra)
Lineage: Eukaryota; Metazoa; Chordata; Actinopteri; Characiformes; Acestrorhamphidae
Description: lncRNA (ENSAMXG00005009050.1)
Source: RNAcentral
UCAAUAGAAUCUAUCUGAAGUAUGAAGAAAGUUCCUGAUAGGGUUUUUCUUUUGUUUUUUCUUUUGUAGGCCCACAAGGUGAAAAAGGCAAGGAUGGCACGCCUGGCAAAGAUGGUGAGUUAUCAUCAAAUUUAAUAGCCAAAAUAUGUCACUCACAAGAUAACAUCUCACAACGUAUAGCAUAACAUACAUACACAUAACUUUAGCCUAACAUACUUUUGACUCCUGAGCUUCUGUUUGUCUCUGCAGGUAAACCAGGUACUCGGGGUCUACCUGGGCCGAAGGGUGAAGCAGGUGUGAGGGGACCCUCAGGUGUUCCAGGAACAAGAGGAACAUCUGGACCAGCAGGCCCCCGGGGGCCACCGGGCCUCCCAGGAGAGAGGGGUCAGCCGGGGCCUCCCGGACCCCCUGGACCCCCCGGACCACCAGGGCCUCCCGCACCCAUCCCUGAAGACAGUAAGUGCUUUCACUUCACAUCCCUUUACCAACUCUACUCACAGCUCACAGCAACCACUGCUGAUUAAAC